This 1039-nucleotide ribosomal RNA is filed under the name Enterococcus durans. Its description in RNAcentral is "bacterial SSU rRNA". It matches the Rfam family "Bacterial small subunit ribosomal RNA", at positions 136 to 1161 of the family's 1533-position model. Lineage: Bacteria; Bacillati; Bacillota; Bacilli; Lactobacillales; Enterococcaceae. The record is from RNAcentral.
GAAGGGGAUAACACUUGGAAACAGGUGCUAAUACCGUAUAACAAUCGAAACCGCAUGGUUUUGAUUUGAAAGGCGCUUUCGGGUGUCGCUGAUGGAUGGACCCGCGGUGCAUUAGCUAGUUGGUGAGGUAACGGCUCACCAAGGCCACGAUGCAUAGCCGACCUGAGAGGGUGAUCGGCCACAUUGGGACUGAGACACGGCCCAAACUCCUACGGGAGGCAGCAGUAGGGAAUCUUCGGCAAUGGACGAAAGUCUGACCGAGCAACGCCGCGUGAGUGAAGAAGGUUUUCGGAUCGUAAAACUCUGUUGUUAGAGAAGAACAAGGAUGAGAGUAACUGUUCAUCCCUUGACGGUAUCUAACCAGAAAGCCACGGCUAACUACGUGCCAGCAGCCGCGGUAAUACGUAGGUGGCAAGCGUUGUCCGGAUUUAUUGGGCGUAAAGCGAGCGCAGGCGGUUUCUUAAGUCUGAUGUGAAAGCCCCCGGCUCAACCGGGGAGGGUCAUUGGAAACUGGGAGACUUGAGUGCAGAAGAGGAGAGUGGAAUUCCAUGUGUAGCGGUGAAAUGCGUAGAUAUAUGGAGGAACACCAGUGGCGAAGGCGGCUCUCUGGUCUGUAACUGACGCUGAGGCUCGAAAGCGUGGGGAGCAAACAGGAUUAGAUACCCUGGUAGUCCACGCCGUAAACGAUGAGUGCUAAGUGUUGGAGGGUUUCCGCCCUUCAGUGCUGCAGCUAACGCAUUAAGCACUCCGCCUGGAGAGUACGACCGCAAGGUUGAAACUCAAAGGAAUUGACGGGGGCCCGCACAAGCGGUGGAGCAUGUGGUUUAAUUCGAAGCAACGCGAAGAACCUUACCAGGUCUUGACAUCCUUUGACCACUCUAAAAAUAGAGCUUCCCCUUCGGGGGCAAAGUGACAGGUGGUGCAUGGUUGUCGUCAGCUCGUGCCGGGAGAUGUUGGGUUAAGUCCCGCAACGAGCGCCACCCUUUAUUGUUAGUUGCCAUCAUUCAGUUGGGCACUCUAGCAAGACUGCCGGGGACCA